This is a long non-coding RNA of Hippopotamus amphibius kiboko, 592 nucleotides long. RefSeq lists it as uncharacterized. Lineage: Eukaryota; Metazoa; Chordata; Mammalia; Artiodactyla; Hippopotamidae. The transcript is spliced from 3 exons. The record is from RefSeq and is a predicted model, not a curated record.
CUUGUCGCGGUGCUUGGAUUGCAGCACGUGAGCCAGCUCGCGCAGGUGGCCCCGGUGUCGCUGCUCCUCCGGCCGCGCGGGGAAAGCGGCGGCCAGGAUCCGCUCCGUCACGUAGGAUGACCACUGUCCACAGCAGUCCAUUCAAGGUAACCUCCUGGGUGCCCUCUCUGUGGCCACGAGACAUCUGGAUACCGCAGCCAGGUUCCUCGCCUCCCCCACCCCAUCUCAGAGCACACUCACCAGCUCCGCGGGAGGCAAGGCCUGACAGGAUGAAGUCACCUGGAAGGAGACCGAAUGGUUAAGAAUCUGCCUGCCAAUGCAGGGUACACGGGUUCAAGCCCUGGUCCGGAAAGAUUCCCACAUGCUGUGGAGCAGCUAAGCCUGUGCACCACAACUACUGAGUCUGUGCUCUAGUGCCCUCAAGUCACAACUACUGAGCCCAUGUACCACAACUACUGAAAGCCUUCGUGCCUAGAGCCCAUGCUCUGCAACAAGAGAAGCCACUGCAAUGAGGAGCCCACGCACUGCAAUGAAGAAUAGUCCCCGCUCUCUGCAACUAGAGAAAGCCUGUGUGCAACAAAGAAGACCCAAC